This 212-nucleotide long non-coding RNA is filed under the name Mytilus galloprovincialis (Mediterranean mussel). The record is from RNAcentral. Lineage: Eukaryota; Metazoa; Mollusca; Bivalvia; Mytilida; Mytilidae.
GUGGUCUUCAAAACUCCCUUUUUACAUCUAUAUUAAAGCAAUGGCUUUUGAUUGUAUUCAAAAACAAAUAUUUCAAGAAUUAUAUAUAUAUACAUUUAUAACAAGUAAAUAUCAGGAGUGUUCACAUGCGAAGUGCACACAACUCUCCACUGAUACAAUGAGCAUUCAGGUAGUAGAAGUUCUAAAAUUUGAUGUCUCCAAUCAUUACUGAC